AAGAUAAUGUAGGUAAAACCCUUAGAACAGUGCUUGAGUGAGUCAGCUCUCAACAAACGUUAGCUGUGAUUAUUGUUAUUACUAUUAUUACUUUUGCUACCAUCUAAGAGCUCCAGCUGAUUUAUGGCAGAGCCAUGUCUGAUGUCUGACAGUCCAGUGUCCACCCCAUCAGGAACUCUCUUCAACACAGCGCCGGGUUUAUUUCCGCCUCUGGAAUGCAGCACUGGGGGGAUUCCUGGCAGUGCCGGACCACGUGGAGGACAUGAAGGCAGGCCGUGUGGUGGUCUCCGACCCCCGAGCUGGAGGUAGCUGCAUCUGGUACUACGAGGAUGGGAUGCUGAAGAACCAGAUGGCCCCCACAAUGAGCCUGCAGGUGAUUGGACCCCCUAGCUCAGGCUCCAAGGUGGUGCUGUGGGCCGAGAGCCGCCUGCCACGCCAGACGUGGAGCAUCAGUGAAUCGGGCCACAUCUGCAGCCAGAUGUUCGAAGGCCAGAUCCUGGAUGUGAAGGGAGGCCGGGGCUACGACCGGGACCACGUGGUGCUAUGGGAGCCGGAUGAGGACAGAGCAUCCCAGAUCUGGACCAUCCAUGUGCUUUGAACCUUUUCCCCUCACCCUCCAGCCCUGGAGGCUUUUGCUGGGAUGAAUGUUUUUAUAGGGUUUUUGUUGUAACAUAAGCUAUUUUCUAAUA
Molecule: small RNA, 689 nt
Filed under: Pongo abelii (Sumatran orangutan)
Lineage: Eukaryota; Metazoa; Chordata; Mammalia; Primates; Hominidae
Description: processed transcript
Source: RNAcentral